Long non-coding RNA from Brienomyrus brachyistius, 580 nucleotides. RefSeq lists it as uncharacterized. The transcript has 3 exons. The record is from RefSeq and is a predicted model, not a curated record. NCBI's taxonomy places the organism in Eukaryota, Metazoa, Chordata, Actinopteri, Osteoglossiformes, Mormyridae.
CCCUGAUUGGCUGUACGUAGAGAGUGCCCCUGUACCCUGAUUGGCUGUACGUAGAGAGUGCCCCUGUACCCUGAUUGGCUGUACGUAGAGAGUGCCCCUGUACCCUGAUUGGCUGUACGUAGAGAGUGCCCCUGUACCCUGAUUGGCUGUACGUAGAGAGUGCCCCUGUACCCUGAUUGGCUGUACGUAGAGAGUGCCCCUGUACCCUGAUUGGCUGUACGUAGAGAGUGCCCCUGUACCCUGAUUGGCUGUACGUAGAGAGUGCCCCUGUACCCUGAUUGGCUGUACGUAGAGAGCGCCCCUGUACCCUGAUUGGCUGUACGUAGAGAGCGCCCCUGUACCCUGAUUGGCUGUACGUAGAGAGUGCCCCUGUACCCUGAUUGGCUGUACGUAGAGAGUGCCCCUGUACCCUGAUUGGCUGUAUGUAGAGAGUGCCCCUGUACCCUGAUUGGCUGUACGUAGAGAGUGCCCCUGUACCCUGAUUGGCUGUACGUAGAGAGUGCCCCUGUACCCUGAUUGGCUGUACGUAGAGAGUGCCCCUGUACCCUGAUUGGCUGUACGUAGAGAGUGCCCCUGUACC